This 443-nucleotide ribosomal RNA is filed under the name uncultured bacterium. RNAcentral describes it as "partial 16S ribosomal RNA". It matches the Rfam family "Bacterial small subunit ribosomal RNA", at positions 338 to 795 of the family's 1533-position model. The record is from RNAcentral.
CCUACGGGAGGCAGCAGUGGGGGAUAUUGGACAAUGGGGGGAACCCUGAUCCAGCGACGCCGCGUGAGUGAAGAAGUAUUUCGGUAUGUAAAGCUCUGUCAGCAGGGAAGAAAGAAAUGACGGUACCUGACCAAGAAGCCCCGGCUAACUACGUGCCAGCAGCCGCGGUAAAACGUAGGGGGCAAGCGUUAUCCGGAAUUACUGGGUGUAAAGGGAGCGUAGACGGUUAAGUAAGUCUGGAGUGAAAGGCCGGGGCUCAACCCCGGGACUGCUCUGGAAACUAUUUAACUUGAGUGCAGGAGAGGUAAGCGGAAUUCCUAGUGUAGCGGUGAAAUGCGUAGAUAUUAGGAGGAACACCAGUGGCGAAGGCGGCUUACUGGACUGUAACUGACGUUGAGGCUCGAAAGCGUGGGGAGCAAACAGGAUUAGAUACCCCUGUAGUC